The submitters of this non-coding RNA (35 nucleotides) gave its source as unclassified sequences. The record is from Rfam.
AGGGAGGAAGCCGAAAAUCCUUCAAAGAGUAGGCA